AACGAACGCUGGCGGCACGCCUAACACAUGCAAGUCGAACGGUAACGGCUCUUCGGAGGCCGACGAGUGGCGGACGGGUGAGUACGCGUAGCUACCUGCCCUCUGGCGGGGGACAACAGUUGGAAACGACUGCUAAUACCGCAUAUCUCCUACGGGAGAAAGACCUUCGGGUCACCAGAGGAGGGGGCUGCGUUGGAUUAGCUAGUUGGUAGGGCAAAGGCCUACCAAGGCGAUGAUGGAUAGCCGGCCUGAGAGGGUGAACGGCCACACUGGAACUUAGACACGGUCCAGACUCCUACGGGAGGCAGCAGUGGGGAAUAUUGCGCAAUGGGCGAAAGCCUGACGCAGCGACGCCGCGUGGGGGAUGAAGGUCUUCGGAUUGUAAACUCCUGUUAAGUGGGAAGAAAGGCUCGCUUUUAAUAGAGGCGAGAGAUGACGGUACCAUUAGAGAAAGCACCGGCUAACUUCGUG
Molecule: ribosomal RNA, 471 nt
Filed under: uncultured Magnetococcaceae bacterium
Lineage: Bacteria; Pseudomonadati; Pseudomonadota; Magnetococcia; Magnetococcales; Magnetococcaceae
Description: bacterial SSU rRNA
Rfam family: Bacterial small subunit ribosomal RNA
Source: RNAcentral